RNAcentral lists this ribosomal RNA (434 nucleotides) under Megacrania tsudai. RNAcentral's name for it is "partial 16S ribosomal RNA". The stretch from base 1 to 164 matches the Rfam family "Bacterial large subunit ribosomal RNA", at positions 1798 to 2023 of the family's 2925-position model. Lineage: Eukaryota; Metazoa; Arthropoda; Insecta; Phasmatodea; Phasmatidae. The record is from RNAcentral.
GCCUGUUUAUCAAAAACAUCUUUUCUUGUUUAUUUAUUUGAGAUUUGACCUGCUCUAUGAUUUAUUUAAUGGCCGCGGUAAUUUGACCGUGCAAAGGUAGCAUAAUCAUUAGUCUAUUAAUUGUGGACUUGUAUGAAUGGUUGGACGAAAUAUUGACUGUCUCGUUAUUAAAUAUUUAAUUUAAAUUUUGAGUUAAAAUGCUUAAAUGUUUUUAUAGGACGAGAAGACCCUUUAGAUCUUAAAUUAUUUAUUUUUAAUUUUAUUUUAGUUAUUAUUUAUUUAUUAGGAUUAUUUAUUUUUUGUUGGGGUGACAUGGAGAUAUAAUUAACUCUUUAUAAUUUUGUACAAUUAUUUUUGUUUAUAUGACCUUUUAUUAAUGUUAUAAGAUUUAGAUACCUAAGGGAUAACAGCGUAAUUUUUCUUGAGAGUUCGUA